This is a long non-coding RNA of Hemicordylus capensis (graceful crag lizard), 1302 nucleotides long. RefSeq lists it as uncharacterized. Lineage: Eukaryota; Metazoa; Chordata; Lepidosauria; Squamata; Cordylidae. The transcript has 3 exons. The record is from RefSeq and is a predicted model, not a curated record.
ACCAGGGGAAGCAGCAAACUUUUGAUUUCUCUCCUAAAGACUGCAAGCAAGCAAUUAGAUAUAUAAAUCAAUCAAUCAACAAAAAAACAAGGGGGAAAGGGCAAGCUACAUUUGUUAGGACUAGUAUUUUCUAGGGUUUGAUUUCUGGCUGGCUAGAAGUUUGUGUUUUUGACAGGGCAGUUUGUUGGUUUAGGGGGCUUGCUCCAGGUGAGUCACACAGCUUGAGGGAGGGGCCACAUUCCUCAGGUGGCUCAGUCUGGAAGCAGCUCUUGAGGACAAAAGGCUCAGAACAGAGUAAGUUUGCUUCCUGGAAAUUGGUGAACAGGGGUUUGCAACAAGGUAUCAAAUUAGUUUUGCAUUGAGUUUAGCGGGGAAAUGUGUAGGGACGCACAGAAGCAGUCUCCAUUUUUCAUACAGGAGACAUCCAGCACAAGGAGAAGAGGAGCUAUGAGGAGCACCGUCCAGUCACGUGUUAGUACUUUUGACCUGAGGAUUGCCACCCCAAGCUGCUUGUGCCAAGCGACAGACUUGAGAGUUUGCCAUAUACGGGCAGUUGAAGAGAAGUCAUGCUCCCAUUACUCAUGGACCAUGAGCUCCAACCAAGAUGGAGUCUGCAAGCCUGCAGAUACAAGAUACAUAGUGGGGUGCUUCUUGUAGCCCCCAAACAGAUUGUUUUAUUAACAGCACACACCAACGCCAGUGAUUCCAAGAGCAUGUGGUGACAAUUAAGAAGACAAUCUACCUGAAGGAGAUUGCCCUUAUGAACCUGUCUGCACCUUUGCCCAUAUGAACCUGCCUGCACACUUUACUCUUUAGAGGGGGUCCAACUAUAUGUUUCACCACCUUCUGUAGUGCAGUUGGGCAUGGCAACAAGGGCUUCAGACCAAAGCUGUGGAAGCACUUGAUAACUGAGAUUGGGCUAGCUCUUUUCUUGAUUUAGACAUCAGCAGGAAUAUUUUUCUCUUCAAAAACAUUUUUCAUGAAUGUAUUUUUGACUGAAUAUCUGUUAUGAUUGCUGCUGUUCUUUUUUUUAAAAAAACCACAUUCAUUAUUUUAAUGAUCAUUUGUGGUUUAUUGUUGAGAUUGUGAGCAGCUGAUGAUUCAGUUGUGGGACUGAAAGGCAAAUGUUAAAAAAAAAAUCUGGGGGUUUUUAGGAGUGAGGAAGAAAGAUGGCUGAUUUCAAAUAUCACCAUGUGUCUUAAUACCCUGCACAUUAGAUAAUGUAAUUAGCACUCAGUUUCUGAGCACUGACAUUUUGUAUAAUUACAUUUACGCAAAUAAAUUUCACUUGUAUAGUUUUGA